This 126-nucleotide ribosomal RNA is filed under the name Pteropus alecto (black flying fox). The record is from RNAcentral. Lineage: Eukaryota; Metazoa; Chordata; Mammalia; Chiroptera; Pteropodidae.
GUCUAUGGCCAUGCCGCCCUGAACACGCCUGAUCUCAUCUGAUUUCGGAAGCUAAGCAGGGUUGGACCUGGUUAGUACUUGGAUGGGAGACCACCUAGGAAGGUGGUCUACCAGGUGCUGUAGACG